This 301-nucleotide ribosomal RNA is filed under the name uncultured bacterium. RNAcentral describes it as "partial 16S ribosomal RNA". It matches the Rfam family "Bacterial small subunit ribosomal RNA", at positions 509 to 807 of the family's 1533-position model. The record is from RNAcentral.
CAGCCGCCGCGGUAAUACGAAGGGUGCAAGCGUUAAUCGGAAUUAUUGGGCGUAAAGGGUGCGUAGGCGAUUGUUUAAGUCUGUUGUGAAAUCCCCGGGCUCAACCUGGGAAUUGCAGUGGAUACUGGGUCACUAGAGUGUGGUAGAGGAUAGUGGAAUUUCCGGCGUAGCAGUGAAAUGCGUAGAGAUCGGAAGGAACAUCUGUGGCGAAGGCGACUAUCUGGGCCAACACUGACACUGAGGCACGAAAGCGUGGGGAGCAAACAGGAUUAGAUACCCGCGUAGUCCCUGUCUCUUAUAC